This is an RNA transcript of Brachypodium distachyon (stiff brome), 4142 nucleotides long. RefSeq lists it as uncharacterized. The record is from RefSeq and is a predicted model, not a curated record. NCBI's taxonomy places the organism in Eukaryota, Viridiplantae, Streptophyta, Magnoliopsida, Poales, Poaceae. The transcript is spliced from 4 exons.
GGUCCCUUGAACUGCAUGCUUGCAGUACUCUCAAAUGAGAUAGACGAAGACCACAUCAAUACACUCAAGGAUAUUGGAUUGAAAAUUAUAGAAAAAUGUGGUGGUUUGCCCCUUGCAGUCAAAGUAAUGGGAGGACUCCUGUGUCAAACAGAGAUGCUACGUCGUGACUGGGAGCAGGUUGUGGAUGACUCUAAAUGGUCAAUAACUGAAAUGCCCCAAGAGCUCAACCAUGCAGUAUACUUGAGCUAUGAAGCUAUGCCUCCUUAUCUGAGGCAGUGCUUUCUAUACUACUCUAUUCUGCCCAAAAGUAAAACAUUUUAUGUGCCUGACGUCAUUGCAAUGUGGAUUAGUGAAGGAUUUAUUCAUGGAAACUCUAAUGAUCUAGAAGAAACAGGGAAAAAAUACUACAAGGAGUUGAUAUCUAGGAACCUUAUAGAGCCAGAUAAAGGUGUUAUUGAUCAAUGGUCUUGCAGCAUGCAUGAUGUUGUUCGCUCAUUUGCUCAAUAUAUGAGUAGAGACGAAGCACUCAUAGAUCACAACGGAGAAAUUGGUAUUCUUACUAAACUGAAUUCACAAAAGUUUCUUUGCUUGUCUAUGGAAACAACCAUAUUGCAAUCAGGUGAAUUAGAAUGGAAAUCUUUACAAGAGCAGAAAUCAGUGAGAACAUUAAUCUCAAUUGGCAGGAUCAAGAUGAACCCUGGUGAUUCAUUGCUUAACUUUUCUAGUCUGCGGACUCUAUAUAUAGAAUCUGAAGAUGUGUCUGUAUUGGUUGAAUCAUUGCAUCAACUCAAGCACCUGAGGUAUUUGGCCCUACUAAAUGCUGAGAUAUCUGUACUUCCAGAAAACAUUGGCAAGAUGAAAUUAUUGCAAUUCAUUGACCUUCGUGAAUGUUCAAAAUUGGUGAAUCUUCCUGAUAGCAUAGUGAAGCUUGGCCAGCUGAGGCAUCUUGAAUUCCCAGGCAAAGUAAGUAUGAUACCUAGAGAGUUCCGUUGUUUGACAAAUAUGAGGAAUCUAUAUGGGUUUCCAGCCUACGUGGAUGGUGAUUGGUGCAGUUUGGACGAGUUGGGGCCUCUUUCCCAACUCAGAUAUCUGAGUUUAGUGCAAUUGGAGAAUAUAUCUUCAUCAUCGUCUGCUGCUAAUGCUAGGCUUGGUGAGAAAAUGCAUAUGAUCGACCUAAUCUUGUCUUGUACAAGCAAACUCGGAGAUGAUGGGUUGGUCAAAGAAGAAAAUGGUGUCUGUCAGGAAGAGAAAACUCGAAUCGAGAAGGUGUUUGGUGAGCUCUGCCCUCCGACCAGUGUACAAUAUCUUGAUAUCAGUGGGUAUUUUGGCCAGCAACUCCCGAAUUGGAUGACGUCCAAGUCAAUGGUGCCCCUCAACAACUUAAAGUCUCUAUUGUUUUCUGACCUGGCUUGUUGCACCCAACUUCCGAAUGGGUUGUGUCAGCUCCCCUGUCUGCAGUUUCUUCAGGUCGCACGCGCUCCAUGCAUCAGGAGUGUGGGAACUGAAUUCUUGCAUCCCUCCCAGGGGGCAUCAGCUCCAUUUCCGAGAUUGCAGAGGAUGCAAUUAUUUGGUAUGGUGGAAUGGGAAGAGUGGGUGUGGGAGGGGAAAGUGCAAGCCAUGCCCCGUUUGGAGGAGCUUUUGGUCGAAAAAUGCAAACUGCGGCGUGUUCCUCCUGGCCUUGCCUCCAACGCAAGGGCUUUGAGAAAGUUAUCCAUACAAAAUGUCAAGCAGAUCAGCUGCCUUCAGAAAUUUCCUUCUGUCGUUGAGCUUACAGUGGAUUGGUGCCCUGACCUGGAGAGGAUCACUGAUCUCCCCAAAGUGCAGAAGCUCACCAUCACCGGAUGCUGGAAGGUGAAGGUAGUGAAGUACUUGCCCGCACUGCAGAGGCUGGUGCUGGAGGAUGGCAGGAUGGAAACAGUCCCUGGAUACUUGGGAGACGUGAACCCGAGCUAUUUGGAGCUAAGAUGCGGCCUAACGCUGCUCACUUCCAUAGCAGCGGGGGAAUCUGGACCAGAGUUUGCCAAGUUCAGCCACGUAGAGCGUGUCAAGGCCAGAGGGGCAUACAGAAAUAGUGAUUUCUACGUGUUGUACACAAGAGGGCCGUGCAGCUUCGACACAAAUGUCAAUCCGUCAUUCCUGUCUAGAGGAACUCUACCUAUUUUUGAGGAUGCACAAAGGCUAGAGUCUGCGCUGAAAAUGCCAAGAAGAGCCUUCGACUACGUCUGCAACUUAUUGAAGGAGAAGUCUUGGCAAGAUGCGAACAAAUACACCUUUCCCGAUGGGAGGUAUUUGUGUUUAGAAGACGGAGUUGCCGUCGCUCUGAUAGUGCUCAACUCUGGCGAGACACCUGCAACCGUAGGAUCCUCCGUUGCUUUGAAUGAGUCAAUCGUCUCGCAGGUAACCAAGAGCUUUGUUGUUGCUAUGGACACACCAGGAUGGCCAGGCACCACUGAAAUGGAGAAGAUCAAGUACAAGUUUGACAAGAUCCGCGGCCUGCCAAACUGCUGCGGUGUUGUACAUGCAGCUCGCAUCCCAUUUGGGUCUCAAAACAGCGACCGUGAGAAGAAGAAUGAAGACAUGCUAAUGCAAGUCACCAUUGAUUCAGAUAUGAGGUUCAUAGAUGUCCACUUGGGAUCGCCAGACAACAUGAAGAAGUCAAGCAUUUCACAUGACUCUUCUCUCUUCGAGGAGUGUGAGAAGGGUACUAGGCUGAAUGGUAGCAAGCUGAAUUUAUCGGAUGGACGGCAAGUUGGAGAAUACGUGAUUGGUGAUGCCGGAUAUCCUCUUCUUCCCUGGCUGCUCACACCUUACCACCCGGAGAAUGACCUCUCAGAUUAUCAAGUAGAGUUCAAUAGGAGACACUCAGAAGCAAUGGCCGUUGUGACGAGGAGUGCACUGGAAAGAUUAAAAGACACAUGGAAGUUCCUUCAUGGAGGGAGGUGGCGUCCUGAACAUCGAUUUGAACUUCAUCAGGCAAUCCAAGCAUGCUGCAAGUUGCAUAACAUAGUGUUAGAAAUGGAGUGUAAGGUAGCCACAACGAGCUAUGGCGCCGGUAGCAAAGAAGUACGGCAGUUAGCAGAUGAGGAUGCGGCCAUGGCAAGGGAUAUAUUGUCGCAACACUUGACCAGCAAACCAUUGGAAUCUGGAGGAACCCUGGCUAUUUUUGAGGAUGCACAAACAUUCGAGUCUCUAUUGAAAAUGCCAAGAAGAACCUUCAACUAUGUCUGCAGCUUGCUGAAGGAAUCGUCUUUGGAAAUUAUGAACAGCUAUUUCUUUUUUGAUACGAGGUUCUUUUCUUUAGAAGAUCGAGUAGCCAUCGCUCUGAUAAUGCUCAACUCUGGCGACCCACCUGCAACUGUAGGAUCCUUUCUUGGAGUGAACGAGUCAACGGUCUCGCUGGUAACCAAGAGCUUUGUUGAUGCCAUGGCUGAGAGAGCAAAGUACCAUGUGUACUGGCCACAAUCUGAUGAGAGGGAGAAGAUGAAAUCCAAGUUUGCCAAGAUCCAUGGCCUGCCAAACUGCUGCGGCGUUUUACAUACAACUCAUGUAUCACCUGCGUCAAGAAGCUGGGACCAUCAGGAUAAGGAAAGCUUUGUACUGCAAGGCGUUGUUGAUCCAGAUAUGAGGUUCACAAGCACUUGGAUGGGACCACAGGAAGAUGACAUGAACCAGUCAAGCUUUUUGCACAGCUCUAUUCUCUUCAAGAAGUGCGAGAAGGGUACAUGGCUGAACGGCAGAUAUUCCUUCUUAUCAAUCCGAGUUCAACAGGAGACACUCUGCAGCUAGAAUCAUUGCGGUGAAGGCGCUAGCAAGGUUGGAAGACACAUGGAAGUUCAUGCACGGUGAAUGGCGUCCAGACACUCCACGUGAGAUGAUCGAUGCAAUCCGUGUCUGCUGCAGGUUGCAUAACAUAGUGAUAAGCAUGGAAGAGGGUGAAGGCAUGCCCAGUGACCAAGAGGUGAGGUGAAUUACAGCGACGAAGUGCGCCAGUUUGCAAACGAGGACGCUGUCAGGGCACGGGAUGUCCUGUCCCGGUACUUGACCAGCAGGACGUCCGAAUUUAGAGUCGACCAGGUGGAUCAAAAGGUUCAACAGGAAGCAGCUCCAUCCGGCUCUGGGGAUAAAGAGCAACAAGAAGUAUA